GCCAGACUCCUACGGGAGGCAGCAGUGGGGGAUAUUGCACAAUGGGGGAAACCCUGAUGCAGCGAUGCCGCGUGAAUGAAGACGGCCUUCGGGUUGUAAAGUUCUGUCGCAGGGGACGAAAAUGACGGUACCCUGCAAGAAAGCUCCGGCUAACUACGUGCCAGCAGCCGCGGUAAUACGUAGGGAGCAAGCGUUGUCCGGAAUUACUGGGUGUAAAGGGAGCGUAGACGGCAAUACAAGUCGGAAGUGAAAUACCCGGGCUCAACCUGGGAACUGCUUUGGAAACUGUAUGGCUAGAGUGCUGGAGAGGUAAGCGGAAUUCCUAGUGUAGCGGUGAAAUGCGUAGAUAUUAGGAGGAACACCAGUGGCGAAGGCGGCCUGCUGGACCGUAACUGACGUUGAGGCUCGAAAGCUGGGGGAGCGAACAGGAUUAGAUACCCUCGUAGU
Molecule: ribosomal RNA, 447 nt
Filed under: uncultured bacterium
Lineage: Bacteria
Description: partial 16S ribosomal RNA
Rfam family: Bacterial small subunit ribosomal RNA
Source: RNAcentral